Molecule: long non-coding RNA, 1060 nt
Organism: Prinia subflava (tawny-flanked prinia)
Lineage: Eukaryota; Metazoa; Chordata; Aves; Passeriformes; Cisticolidae
Exons: 2
Source: RefSeq, a predicted model, not a curated record
CGUGCUAGGAAAUUCAAGUUCAAACAGAGACGAGGAAGCCAGAGAAAGCUUUAUUAGAUUCCAGCCUCACCAGGUGUCAGCAGAAUGUGCCAGGUGAGUUACCAGCAUGCACAGGUGGGGAGCAGUGCUGGGCUCAGGGCAGGGCAUGCAGGGCAUGCAGGGCUGCAGGGGGGCUGUGCAGGGCUCUGGGGCUGCCCUGGCUGGAGCUGAAGGGUUCCCAGAGAGGGGACAGGGACAGAAACAGACCCCAGAGAGGGGACAGGGAUGGGAGCAGCCCCAGAGGGGUUACAGGGACAGGAGCAGCCCCAGGAAGGGGACAGGGACAGGAGCAGCCUCAGGAAGGGGACAGGGACAGGAGCAGCCCCAGGAAGGGGACGGGGACAGGAGCAGCCCCAGGAAGGGGACAGGGACAGGAGCAGCCCCAGGGAGGGGACAGGGAUGGGAGCAGCCCCAGGGAGGGGACAGGGACAGGAGCAGCCCCAGGGAGGGGACACCCAUCGGAGGCACAGCGAGCUUUGGAUCCAGCCUGGGAGGGAGCCAGGACAGCCCCUCUGGAGGGGCCACAGAGCUGCUGCCUGCACCCAGCGAGGGGAGGGGAGGGGGAAGCUCCUGCAUUUCUCUCAGGUCCUUGCAGAGCCCCAGAGGCCCCAGCCCCGCACAGGCCCUGCAGGGCAGGCAGGGCCUGGCUGCUCCCCCGGGAGCCUCCUGCUCCUGGGGCUCCCUGUGCAGGCCCAGGGCUGGGCAGAGCAGCAGCUCUGGGGACAGUGGCAGCAGCACCUCGGCAUUCCAGCUCCUGCCUGGCUCAAGCACCAGUCCAGCCCAGCUUCCCCAUUUGUUCGGUUUAUUGAACUUCAAAGAGGUGCACACUAAAGCAUUAAGAUUUACUGGUUUGGAUUCCUCUCUGUACAAGUUCUUUCACACAGCUUGAAUGCACAAGGCUUUACAGAUAGAAGCGCCGAAACACAAGAUAAAACAAAUCUAAAUUCCAAAUCACUCCAUGAAGAAAAAAUCGUAGAAAAUUAAAAUUAAAAAAAAAAAAAAAAAGGAAAACAAAACAAAA